UACGUAGGGGGCAAGCGUUGUCCGGAUUUAUUGGGCGUAAAGAGCGUGUAGGCGGCCAGAUAGGUCCGUUGUGAAAACUCGAGGCUCAACCUCGAGACGCCGAUGGAAACCAUUUGGCUAGAGUCCGGAAGAGGAGAGUGGAAUUCCUGGUGUAGCGGUGAAAUGCGCAGAUAUCAGGAGGAACACCGGUGGCGAAGGCGCCACUCUGGGCCGAAACUGACGCUGAGGAGCGAAAGCGUGGGUAGCAAACAGG
RNAcentral lists this ribosomal RNA (253 nucleotides) under uncultured bacterium. Its description in RNAcentral is "partial 16S ribosomal RNA". It matches the Rfam family "Bacterial small subunit ribosomal RNA", at positions 524 to 776 of the family's 1533-position model. The record is from RNAcentral.